CUACGGGCGGCUGCAGUAAGGAAUAUUGCGCAAUGGAGGCAACUCUGACGCAGCCAUGCCGCGUGCAGGAAGAAGGCCUUAUGGGUCGUAAACUGCUUUUAUUUAGGAAUAACCCCCUGCUCGUGAGCAGGGCUGAAGGUACUAAAAGAAUAAGCACCGGCUAACUCCGUGCCAGCAGCCGCGGUAAUACGGAGGGUGCAAGCGUUAUCCGGAUUUAUUGGGUUUAAAGGGUGCGCAGGCGGGCUAUUAAGUCAGUGGUGAAAUCCCGGGGCUCAACUCCGGAACUGCCGUUGAUACUGAUAGUCUUGAGUUUGGUUGAAGUGGGCGGAAUGUAGCAUGUAGCGGUGAAAUGCAUAGAUAUGCUACAGAACACCAAUCGCGAAGGCAGCUCACUAAGCCAAAACUGACGCUCAUGCACGAAAGCGUGGGGAGCAAACAGGAUUAGAUACCCGAGUAGUC
Molecule: ribosomal RNA, 459 nt
Filed under: uncultured bacterium
Lineage: Bacteria
Description: partial 16S ribosomal RNA
Rfam family: Bacterial small subunit ribosomal RNA
Source: RNAcentral